GUACUUUCUAAGUUUUCCUCAUUAAUUUCUUUUUGUUUUUCAUUGAUUUCUAAAUUUUUUGUAUUUGUUAAUAUUUCUGUAUAUGUUUCACUAUCUUCUGAAUCAUAAUUAUUUGUUUCUUCAUCUUCAACAUCUAUAUUAUUUAUUUCUAAUUCUUUGUUUUUUAUUUCCAAUUUUUCCUUAAAUUGAUUUAUCUCGUUCAGUAAUUUUUGUUCUCUAUCUUUUUCUUCUUUUUCCUUUUGUCUUUGUUCAUACAGCUCUUUUAACAUUUGUAGUUCUUUUUCUAAUUCAGCAAUCCUACAAUUUUUAGUUUCUUCUAUUUUUUCGUAUUUCUUCCGUAGUUUGUUGUUUUAUUUUUUCUAUUUCCUUUUUCCUAUCUAUUUCUUCAUUUUCUCUUUCUAUUCUUACCAUUGCUGUCAAU
This 421-nucleotide long non-coding RNA is filed under the name Capsicum annuum. RNAcentral describes it as "long non-coding RNA (CANN_LNC021565)". Lineage: Eukaryota; Viridiplantae; Streptophyta; Magnoliopsida; Solanales; Solanaceae. The record is from RNAcentral.